This 28-nucleotide transfer RNA is filed under the name Cryptomeria japonica (Japanese cedar). RNAcentral describes it as "partial tRNA-Leu". RNAcentral also lists the same sequence under 8 other names. Lineage: Eukaryota; Viridiplantae; Streptophyta; Pinopsida; Cupressales; Cupressaceae. The record is from RNAcentral.
AAAUCCGUUGGUUUUAUAGAUCGUGAGG